RNAcentral lists this ribosomal RNA (253 nucleotides) under uncultured bacterium. RNAcentral's name for it is "partial 16S ribosomal RNA". It matches the Rfam family "Bacterial small subunit ribosomal RNA", at positions 524 to 776 of the family's 1533-position model. The record is from RNAcentral.
UACAGAGGGUGCGAGCGUUGUCCGGAAUCACUGGGCGUAAAGGGCGCGUAGGCGGGAUGGCAAGUCAGUCGUGAAAUCUCUCGGCUCAACCGAGAAACGUCGGCUGAUACUGCCGUUCUUGAGGGAUGCAGAGGAGACUGGAAUUCCCGGUGUAGCGGUGAAAUGUGUAGAGAUCGGGAGGAACACCGGUGGCGAAGGCGGGUCUCUGGGCAUCUCCUGACGCUGAGGCGCGAAAGCGUGGGGAGCAAACGGG